RNAcentral lists this ribosomal RNA (502 nucleotides) under uncultured bacterium. RNAcentral's name for it is "partial 16S ribosomal RNA". It matches the Rfam family "Bacterial small subunit ribosomal RNA", at positions 28 to 523 of the family's 1533-position model. The record is from RNAcentral.
GAUGAACGCUAGCGGCAGGCUUAAUACAUGCAAGUCGAGGGGCAGCGCAGUGUAGCAAUACAUGGGCGGCGACCGGCAAACGGGUGCGGAACACGUACGCAACCUUCCUUUAAGUGGGGGAUAGCCCAGGGAAACUUGGAUUAAUACCCCGUAAUAUUAUGAAGUGGCAUCACUUUAUACUUAUAGCUCCGGCGCUUAAAGAUGGGCGUGCGACUGAUUAGGUAGUUGGCGGGGUAACGGCCCACCAAGCCUGCGAUCAGUAACUGGUGUGAGAGCACGACCAGUCACACGGGCACUGAGACACGGGCCCGACUCCUGCGGGAGGCAGCAGUAAGGAAUAUUGGUCAAUGGACGCAAGUUUAAACCAGCCAUGCCGCGCGGAGGAUGAAGGUCCUCUGGAUUGUAAACUUCUUUUAUUUGGGAAGAAACCCACUGUUUCUACGGUGGUUGACGGUACCAGAUGAAUAAGCACCGGCUAACUCCGUGCCAGCCGCCGCAGUAA